This 310-nucleotide unclassified non-coding RNA is filed under the name uncultured Lecanicillium. RNAcentral describes it as "sequence contains ITS1". The stretch from base 1 to 105 matches the Rfam family "5.8S ribosomal RNA", at positions 50 to 154 of the family's 154-position model. Lineage: Eukaryota; Fungi; Ascomycota; Sordariomycetes; Hypocreales; Cordycipitaceae. The record is from RNAcentral.
GAAAUGCGAUAAGUAAUGUGAAUUGCAGAAUUCAGUGAAUCAUCGAAUCUUUGAACGCACAUUGCGCCCGCCAGCAUUCUGGCGGGCAUGCCUGUUCGAGCGUCAUUUCAACCCUCGACUUCCCUUUGGGGAAAUCGGCGUUGGGGACCGGCAGCAUACCGCCGGCCCCGAAAUGGAGUGGCGGCCCGUCCGCGGCGACCUCUGCGUAGUAAUCCAACCUCGCACCGGAACCCCGACGUGGCCACGCCGUAAAACACCCCACUUUCUGAACGUUGACCUCGGAUCAGGUAGGAAUACCCGCUGAACUUAA